UCAAAUGGAGAGUUUGAUCCUGGCUCAGGAUGAACGCUGGCGGCAUGCCUAAUACAUGCAAGUCGAACGGUAUCUUUGGAUACAGUGGCGAACGGGUGAGU
RNAcentral lists this ribosomal RNA (101 nucleotides) under Ileibacterium valens. RNAcentral's name for it is "partial 16S ribosomal RNA". It matches the Rfam family "Bacterial small subunit ribosomal RNA", at positions 1 to 111 of the family's 1533-position model. The record is from RNAcentral. Lineage: Bacteria; Bacillati; Bacillota; Erysipelotrichia; Erysipelotrichales; Erysipelotrichaceae.